Molecule: long non-coding RNA, 642 nt
Organism: Helianthus annuus (common sunflower)
Lineage: Eukaryota; Viridiplantae; Streptophyta; Magnoliopsida; Asterales; Asteraceae
Exons: 4
Source: RefSeq, a predicted model, not a curated record
UCCUCAUUCUUAUACACGAAUUUUUUUUUCGGAAAUUAUAACAAUUCCGCGUUUCCGUUUUAACACCAAUCAUAAAUCUUGACAUAUUUUACAACCCGCAUACGAAUCAAGCACCAACCAUUUCCAGAAUUACGAGACUUGCGAGAUACUAUAUAACCGACACCCACAAACCUUUCUCGACAUCUCGAUACCCCACACACCUCCUCUCCCCUUGAACCGUGACACUACACAACACCGCAACACUUUUCGCAUAACCUCGCACUCUCGCCGGAACAACCGGAGCUUUGCCAGAGAGAAACAAACAUCGCCGGAGAUCGAGAAGACGACCGGAAACCUCCACGUCGUUCACGUUCGUUACGAAUUGUCCUUUUGAAGAAGAUGAUACACGUCUCGGGAUUCACGUCGGAGUUUAACUUGGUUCUCUCGGAUAAUCACUCUCGUGCAUUUGGGUUCUCCAUCUUUACUCGUACCUUCUUACAAGAAAGCGCAACGCAAUCAAUGUUGAAUGAUCAAGAAAACAAGAAUCAAGCUAGGAUGGACAUUAGAAACCCACUUAGCAUUUUUGAUUAUUGUCGAAUGUUAUGUUUAUUUAUUUGGAACUAUGUACCCUACCUUAGAAUUUAAUAAAACGAUUUAAUUCAU